This 221-nucleotide unclassified non-coding RNA is filed under the name Hevea brasiliensis (rubber tree). Lineage: Eukaryota; Viridiplantae; Streptophyta; Magnoliopsida; Malpighiales; Euphorbiaceae. The record is from RNAcentral.
UUAUUGCACUUCUAACCGGCUCCUCAUUUUGUGAAAUGGGUAUCGUUUUGUAGCAUUUGAGGUAGUUAUCUUCAAGAAUAAAGUACCUCUUGCGUGAAAACUGUAAGCCAAACCUAUUGGACCUAAUAGUAUACAACCAUCCUUCCAUUCUGCCAAUGUUUGGUGGCAUACCCAUUUCAGCAAACCUGUUUUCUUUGGUUUCUUUAAAUAAAAAAACUGAA